GUCCNUGUCUAUAANAUCCUGAACACANCCGAUCUCAUCUGAUCUUGGAAGCUAUGCAGGGUCAGGCCUGGAUAGUACUUGGAUGGAAGAAAUGAGUCCAUUCAUUGAUGGACA
RNAcentral lists this ribosomal RNA (114 nucleotides) under Salvator merianae (Argentine black and white tegu). The record is from RNAcentral. Lineage: Eukaryota; Metazoa; Chordata; Lepidosauria; Squamata; Teiidae.